UGGGGGAUAUUGCACAAUGGGGGAAACCCUGAUGCAGCAACGCCGCGUGAGGGAAGAAGGUUUUCGGAUUGUAAACCUCUGUCCUCAGGGAAGAUAAUGACGGUACCUGAGGAGGAAGCUCCGGCUAACUACGUGCC
Molecule: ribosomal RNA, 137 nt
Filed under: uncultured bacterium
Lineage: Bacteria
Description: partial 16S ribosomal RNA
Rfam family: Bacterial small subunit ribosomal RNA
Source: RNAcentral